Molecule: ribosomal RNA, 465 nt
Filed under: uncultured bacterium
Lineage: Bacteria
Description: partial 16S ribosomal RNA
Rfam family: Bacterial small subunit ribosomal RNA
Source: RNAcentral
GACGAACGCUGGCGGCGUGCUUAACACAUGCAAGUCGAACGGAAAGGCCCCUUUGGGGUUACUCGAGUGGCUAACGGGUGAGUAACACGUGCGUAACCUGUCCUUGACUUCGGGUUAACUUCAGGAAACUGGGGCUAAUACCGGCUAGGAAUCCUUGCUGCAUGGUGGGGGUUGGAAAGCUUCGGCGGUUUUGGAUGGACUCGCGGCUUAUCAGCUUGUUGGUGGGGUAGUGGCUUACCAAGGCUUUGACGGGUAGCCGGCCUGGGAGGGCGACCGGCCACAUUGGGACUGGGAUACGGCCCAGACUCCUACGGGGGGCAGCAGGGGGGAAUAUUGCACAAUGGGCGGAAGCCUGAUGCAGCAACGCCGCGUGCGGGAUGACGGCCUUCGGGUUGGAAACCGCUUUCAGCAGGGGCGAAGCUUGUGGUGACGGUACCUGCAGAAGAAGCACCGGCUAACUACGUG